Molecule: long non-coding RNA, 297 nt
Filed under: Physcomitrium patens
Lineage: Eukaryota; Viridiplantae; Streptophyta; Bryopsida; Funariales; Funariaceae
Description: long non-coding RNA (PPAT_LNC002320)
Source: RNAcentral
AGGUAGAAUAGAAAUUACAACAAAAAAAUCCUAACUAUAAUAGAAUACUGACAAAACUCUAAUUAGACCAUAAUAAUGCUAAACAAGCUUUAAUCAAAUUCAAAAAAACCUCAAAGAAAUUUCAAACAAAUAAUAAGAAUUCUUAAAGAAAUAUUAGAAUGAUCACAAAUAUUAUUCAAAUACAUCUCAACUCAAUCUUAAUUUAAUUCUAGUUAAAAUCCUAUUGAACUUCAUUUAAACUUUAGGCCAAAAUUAAUUAAAUCUUAAAUCCUAAUAAAAUCUUAAAUCCUAAAUCAA